AACGGAAACACCAUGGCCGGGCUCUGUUGCAAUCUUUCCAGAGAUGGCAACCCAAUGGUACCAUGUAGCCAACAAAUUGCAUAGCAGCUGUCAGCCAAGUAUCAAUGCACACCUGAAUCCCUGGAGUUAAGGCCAAAGUUACCCGCCUCCAAGGCUAGAAGAUCUUCAGACAGAGCUUUCUUUUGCCCUUCCUUUGUUCCUCCCUCCCUUCCCUUUGUUCCUCACUUCCUCCCUCCCUCUCGGCAUAAUUUAUCGACAUGGGCUGUCUGACAUUUCAUUGUGAUGAUCACC
Molecule: long non-coding RNA, 291 nt
Organism: Prinia subflava (tawny-flanked prinia)
Lineage: Eukaryota; Metazoa; Chordata; Aves; Passeriformes; Cisticolidae
Exons: 3
Source: RefSeq, a predicted model, not a curated record